RNAcentral lists this ribosomal RNA (80 nucleotides) under Herbaspirillum sp. SJZ107. Lineage: Bacteria; Pseudomonadati; Pseudomonadota; Betaproteobacteria; Burkholderiales; Oxalobacteraceae. The record is from RNAcentral.
CCCAUCCCGAACAGGACCGUGAAACGACUUUGCGCCGAUGAUAGUGCUGCAACCAGUGUGAAAGUAGGUUAUCGUCAGGC